Molecule: ribosomal RNA, 24 nt
Filed under: Lasiodiplodia theobromae
Lineage: Eukaryota; Fungi; Ascomycota; Dothideomycetes; Botryosphaeriales; Botryosphaeriaceae
Description: partial 28S ribosomal RNA
Source: RNAcentral
UGACCUCGGAUCAGGUAGAUCCCA